Molecule: ribosomal RNA, 301 nt
Filed under: uncultured bacterium
Lineage: Bacteria
Description: partial 16S ribosomal RNA
Rfam family: Bacterial small subunit ribosomal RNA
Source: RNAcentral
CAGCCGCCGCGGUAAUACAGAGGGUGCGAGCGUUAAUCGGAAUCACUGGGCGUAAAGCGCACGUAGGCGGACACUUAAGUCAGAGGUGAAAUCCCCGGGCUCAACCUGGGAACUGCAUCCAAAACUGGCGAGCUAGAGUAUGGUAGAGGGUGGUGGAAUUUCCUGUGUAGCGGUGAAAUGCGUAGAUAUAGGAAGGAACAUCAGUGGCGAAGGCGACCACCUGGACUGAUACUGACACUGAGGUGCGAAAGCGUGGGGAGCAAACAGGAUUAGAUACCCGAGUAGUCCCUGUCUCUUAUAC